Olea europaea var. sylvestris is the source of this 6171-nucleotide long non-coding RNA. RefSeq lists it as uncharacterized. The record is from RefSeq and is a predicted model, not a curated record. NCBI's taxonomy places the organism in Eukaryota, Viridiplantae, Streptophyta, Magnoliopsida, Lamiales, Oleaceae. The transcript is spliced from 3 exons.
CCAUACGGGACACGGGAGCCUGUUAACCUGUGGAGAGAGAAACAAAAGAUGGACAAGUACUAGUACAAGAAUUAUUUAGGGGUAAAGUGGUAAUGUGGUGUGUGGCACCACUAUCCACAACCCACGGUUUAUCAAAAAGAGAAGGGCGAGCAGAUGGACCUGUGAAGGAGAGAGCUGGGCCUUUGAGGAGUUCCAUUAAUUGGUUAUGUUGCUCGGUGAAGAGACCAGAAAUUUCACUCAUGGCUAAGGAGUUGGCGGCGACAGAAACUUGAUGGAUAGCCAGCAAAAAGGAACCGACUGUGCUGCGUUUGCUCUUGGAUGACUACCAUUCUAUGUACCCAAUAACCUCAAAGCAUUUGUCAUGUUGAUGGCCGGGUUUACCACAUGCUUCACAGAGAGGAGUUUCGAUGGGCCAGACUCGACGAGGACGAGGUUGAGUCCGCUGUGGCAUCGAGCGGGCAAUUAGAGUUGAGGCAUCUGGUCGAGCUGGGUUUAAUUGGAGCAAACGUUGGGUUUCUUCUUGAUAGAGGGUAGCAUAGAAAUGAAUAAUAGAAAGGAGUGGGUCUGUGGCUAAAAUCUGUGAUUGAAUUUGCUGAAAACUCUCGUUAAGGCCCAUGAGAAAUUGAUAAACUCGAUAUGUGUCUUGAGAUUCAACGAAGGAUUUAUGGGCAUCACAUGUACAUGGAUUGAUUGGUUGCAAGGAGCCUAAUUCAUCCCAUAACUCCUUCAAUUUUCCUUAGUAUGAUGUAAUUGAUUUUUGUUCCUUGUGAAGAUUGGCCAAAUCCCAAAACUUUAGUGUGUUUGCUUUGUUAGAAAUGGGUUUCUAGUUCUACCCAUAAGUCAUUUGGUGUAGCAUAAUAGAGAAGGCUACCUAUAAGUAAGCGAUCAAUGGAAUGGAGCAGCCAUGACAUUAUUAUGUCACAACAUCAGUCCCAGAGUAAUACUGCAGCAGAGUCUUCGGUGGGUCGUUUGAUGGUGCUGAGAACAAAGCCCAAUUUGUUCUUAGCAUUCAGUGCUCGAGUGAUUGGUCGAUGCCAAGAAGAUAAUUGUCGCCACUAAGAGGUGUAUCGACAAGAAAUUGAUUUGGUUGAUCAGAUGGAUGCAGGAACUAUGGAGAUGAAGCAUUAGUGAGAGACUUGUUGAUGUCGAAGGCAGGGGAUUCGGCCGCAGAAGCAAAGAUAGUAGCUGAGUUGAGCACCACUAGGCUAGUAGAUCUAUCGAGUUGAGCCAUAGAUUGUCAAGCAUUGUAUAAUAUAUCUUAUCAGUUUAAAUAGUUCAUAUUUUGGGAUAGACACAUCUUUUGGUCAGAAAUUAGUUCCAUGUCUUAGGCCUGUUGUGUUUUGUAUAUUAUACAUUUGGGUAUUGUUUGUAAAUUAUUGCAAAGGACGAAUUGCCAAUGUUAUAUUUGAAUAAUUGGUAUUUUGUGGGGCCAGUGUACCCUAUUUUAAACUAUAUGUAUAUGUUUGGGAUAUUGGAUUAUAUUUUCACGGGAUUUUAGUCCAUAUUUCAGAGAGAACUCUGCCAAAAUUUUUACAAAGUAUAUCACAAUCAAAGCAGGUCAAGGUUACCUUGAUGGUGGGUCCGACACACUUAGUUGGUAUCUACCAUUGGUGCACGACAUGUGUCGGGUCCAUUAUUGUAAUUCAAGACGGGUCGUGUCAAUUGGUAUCAGAGCAUGGUUAUACAGUCAGCUUGCAUUGCAUUUAUUUUGAAUUCGUUCUGAACAUAUCAUACAUGUUUUGUAGUUGGAAGUAAUGGCUCGAGGUAGUAAGACUCACAGACUCCAUAAUGUGCCACCUCAACCACAAGUUGCUCCUAAUAGAGAUGUUAGUAGAGUUGAGCAAUCAAUACAGUAAACUCAUGAGUAGACACAAGGAAAUGUAGCUCAGUCUAAUAAUAUAGCUGAUAGGACUGCCACUAAUGUUGCUUCUACAUUGUGCAGUUCAGAUAAAGAAUAUAGCAUCGAGCGAGCAACUAAAUUAGGAGUUAAAGUGUUCACAGGUACAGCUGAUCCAGCAAAAGCCAAAUCUUAGCUGGUAAAGAUCAAAAGAAUAGUUUAGGUUAUGGAUUGUCUCGAUGAUCAGAUGGCACGUCUUGCUACCUUCUUGCUAGAAGGAGGUAUAGAGUAAAUAUGUUAAUCCUUCUGUGAUUUCAUGGGGUGAUUUUAAGGAAGAUUUUAAUGAGUACUACUGCUCUCACUCAUAUAAGAAUGAUAAACAGAAUGAAUUCUUGAAAUUUGUACUGACAUCUGCAGUGGCAGAAUAUCAAAAAAAGUUUAUAGAAUCAUCAAAUUAUGCGGAGUUCUUGUAGCUGAUGAAAUUGAUAAAUGUAGAGGUUUGAAUAUGGCUUGAAAGAAGAGAUCAGAUCAGUGGAUAUAGCAUCGGAGUAUGAAAAUUUUGAUAAACUUCUAGAAGCAAUUCUAAAAUUUGAAAAAAGUAUUUCAAAACGACAAAGCAGUCAGCAACUAAUGAGGCCUAGUGUUAGUGGUGGUAAGCAGACAUGUGUAGGAGCUUCUAUGUUUAGACCACCGAGAAGGGAUCACAUAGGAGGUGGAUUAGAUGUUUCUACUUCUAGUAGCUUUAAAUCCAAAUCCCACAGAAGUCAGGGCUCGAAAUCGAGCCAAAGAUUAGUGCAGCAGCCAGGGAGUAGUAGUACUCAUACUCAGGGUUUGUUCAGAGAUCAUUUACUUCAGGACAUAUUGAUAGCUAUAGUUUGUCAAAUUUCCACAGUGUCAGUUGUGUGGAAAGUUUCACUCUGGAGACUGCUUUAAGGUCAUUGGAGUUUGUUAUCAAUGUGGUCUAACUAGACAUAUGAGGAGAAAGUGUCCAGUUCGCCUUCAGCAGGUGGUACCUCACAGAGAGCAUCUUUACAACCAGGUGGUAUCUCUAGACAGAGAAUACGUUGGCAGGUGGAACAGGUGCUUCUAGUGCUAUUCAGUCCAAUGUUGCUGGCAGUAGUGGUACUAGACAGAAAGGCUAUGCUGGAUAUGCUAGGGCUCAGGGAGAGUUGUUGCUAUGACUCAGCAUGAAGCCAAUGAGUCACCAAACGUGGUCAUGGAUACGUUAUUUAUGUUUCGUAAAAAAAAACUCGUUCUUUAAUUGAUUCUGGUGCUACACAUUCAUUUAUAUCUUAUGCAUUUGCUAAUUAUGCAGACCAUGUGUCAGAACUGUUAGAUAGUGAUUUAAUGGUAGCUACUCCAGUAGGAGAUUCAUUCUUAGUUGACUGUGUGUACAAGGAUUGUGUGAUUAGAGUGAAUUAUCGGGAGUUGAAAGCUAAUUUGAUUCAACUUGAUAUUUAUGAUUUUGAUGUGGUAUUGGGCAUGGAUUUCCUAGCUGCAAAUCAUGCCUUAGUUGACUGUUUUCACAAAGAGAUAGUGUUAAAAGACCAGAAGAGCUUGAAAUUGUUUUUAAUGGUGAAUGAAGAAUAUUACAUUCAUCUAUCAUAUCCGCACUUGAUGCUGGGAGAUUGCUUAGGAAAGGUUGCGAUGCAUAUUUAGCUCAUGUGAUUGAUACUCUAAUCAUUAAGCAAAUACUUGAUGAUAUAUCGCUGGUAAGAGAUUUCCCUGAUGUUUUUCCUGAAGAUCUUCUAGGGUUACCUCUAGAUAGAGAAAUUGAGUUUAUAAUUGAUUUGAUUCUAAGAACUACACUAAUUUCACAACCACCUUACAGAAUGGCCGCAGUAGAGCUCAAAGAAUUGAAAGUUCAGUUGCAAGAUUUAGUUGACAAGGGUUUCAUUAGACCCAGUGUGUCUCCAUGGAGAGCACCGAUCUUAUUUAUGAAGAAGAAAGAUGGCACAAUGAGAUUGUGUAUUGAUUACAGACAACUGGAUAAAGUGACUAGUUCAUAAUUCAGAGAGAACUCUGCCAAAAUUUUUACAAAGUAUAUCAUAGACAAAGUAUGUUAAAGUUGUCUUGAUGGUGGGUCCGACAAUUAGUUGGUCUCUACCAUCGACGACGACACGUGUCGGGUCCAUUAGGGUGAUUCGAGACAGGUCGUGUCAAACAUUCUCCCUAGCAGUGUUCUGAAUCGACUCAGAGCCCAACCUAAGAUGUACUGUACCAAACUGAACUUCCACCAUGAUACUAAACUUGUCCAAAUGUCUUAUAAUCGAUUCUGCACUCCUCUACAAAAUGUACAACUGGGAUCUCCUCCGUCUCUCCAGUACAACUCGAACUCCCUUUUGAACCUUCAAGACUCCACCUCCUCCAGAGAAUUUAUACCCUUUUACAUCCACGGUAUUUAGCGAAAUGAGAUUCCUUUCAAGUCAGGAACAUUCGAACCUGAUCUAAAUAUUCUAUGCAGCAACCUCAAUCUGACUCGACCGAUCUUAGCAAUAUGGCAAAAUUCGUAGUUUUCCAUUACAACUCUACCUUAUUGAAUAGCCUCAUAUGUCUGAAAUAAAUUCCUAUCAGAACACAUAUGGUGCGAACAUGUUGAAUCAAUAAUCCGCUCCUCGUCAGGCAUAGACUCCAUAUUAGAUACCACAGUCAACAUUACCUUUUUACUAUCUGAACAAUUCUCAACUACAUUGGUUUUUGUCUGAAUUCAAAGGUUGCACCCCACGAUUUCAGUUAAAUCACCUUUAGCCUGCAACAUAUCGCAAUCCUUUCGAAUAUGUCCUUUUCUUUUGCAGUAGUAACAGGUCACAUUACUAAAUCUAACUCUCGAUUUGCCUCUUCGUUGACCAUUUUGAGAUAUAAGAGCUUCCCCAUCCCUUGAUGUAGCUCCAACCAAAUGCUUCAUCUUCUCAUUUGAGUGCAAAGCAUCAUAGACAUCUUUAUAGUCAAACUAUCUCGACUAUACAAGAUAGUAUCCCAAAAUAAUGUAUAAGACCUAAGCAGCGAACACAACAAGAUCAAGGCAAGAUCCUCUUCAUCGUACUUAACCUCCAACAUCUCCAAAUCUGCAACUAUUUCCUUGAACACAGCAAUGUGAUCUUCCAAUGAUCCUCCUUCCACCAUGCAAUGGGAAUACAGCUUCUGCUUAAGAGCCAAUUUACUUGUAAAACUCUUAGUCAUACACAACUACUUUAGUCUAAACCACAAAGCAACCGUUGUCUUCUCCUUCAAGACAUCUUCCAGAAUAUUGUUGGAUAAAAAAAGAUGAAUCAACGACAUAGCCUUUCGAUCCUUCUACUAUUUUUCCUUCGUUGUCCAUCCAGCUGGCAUCCUGUCAAAAUCUCACAACGCAUCUUCCAAAUCCAACUGUGCUAGAACAACCCUCAUCUUUACUUUCCACAACAAGAACCUUGUACUAAAAUAUAAUUGCGGAAUAUCAUACUUCAACCCAACUAUCUCGAAAAAAAUCUCAACCAAUCCGCAGAGAAUCAACGGCCUCGUUCUAACACCACUUGUUGGGUGCGGAAGCUCCAACAAUAUUAGUUGAUUCCAAAUCAGAUUUGAAGGAACGAGAUUAUAAGACAAUAUUGAAGUAAACAAGAUCACACAACGAAAAAAGGUUUAAAUUGUAAAGAGGAACAAAAGGAUUAACGCAGAGAAAUGAUGUUUAUUGAAUCAACAAUAUGGAGAAUACAAAGCAAUCUAGCAGUUGGCUUAGAAUUGACAGAAGAGCCUUGUAUUUAGAGGCCAACCUUAUAAGAGCCCUAAAAGGCAAGAAAAUAUAUUAAAAUUAGGAGACCCAUUUUAACAGGAUUUUGUUUCCUUUUGUUGGAUGCAAUUAGAUUCCAUUUCUAAGUAAAAAUCUAACACGAAUCUUCAAAAGACUCCUAACCAAUUUCUAGGAUUCCACUUGAUCAAAUUCUAAAUCAACAAUAAUCCUAACACAUUUGAGUCACCAACCCUAACAUUCCUGAGCCAAAGGGAACGAUAGAUUCAUUGGCAGUAUUGACGCAAAAGUUUGGAAGGAGAGAUAGUGACAUGAAGAGCAGACUACUUUAAGAGAGCUAUGGAGCUGAAGGAUGCAGAGGCCUUGAACAAAUACGCAAACUUCCUCCAGUAGGCGAAGAAGGAUCUUUGGGCUGCCGAGGAAACCUACUUGGAAACCAUUGAAUAAUGAAGUUUCCACGUGCUCAAACAUUUAGUGCAAUGGCAAACUUUUUGAGUUGGCUAGUGACGUUAUUAAAAUCAUUUAGAUAUACUCUACAUUUUGACAUAUAUUAUUAAAUUUUACUUAAUAUUUUUUUGUUGAAAUUAUGGAAAAUAUGAUUUGAUAG